CAGGCUUAACACAUGCAAGUCGAGGGGCAGCAUGGUCUUAGCUUGCUAAGGCCGAUGGCGACCGGCGCACGGGUGAGUAACACGUAUCCAACCUGCCGUCUACUCUUGGACAGCCUUCUGAAAGGAAGAUUAAUACAAGAUGGCAUCAUGAGUCCGCAUGUUCACAUGAUUAAAGGUAUUCCGGUAGACGAUGGGGAUGCGUUCCAUUAGAUAGUAGGCGGGGUAACGGCCCACCUAGUCUUCGAUGGAUAGGGGUUCUGAGAGGAAGGUCCCCCACAUUGGAACUGAGACACGGUCCAAACUCCUACGGGAGGCAGCAGUGAGGAAUAUUGGUCAAUGGGCGAGAGCCUGAACCAGCCAAGUAGCGUGAAGGAUGACUGCCCUAUGGGUUGUAAACUUCUUUUAUAAAGGAAUAAAGUCGGGUAUGGAUACCCGUUUGCAUGUACUUUAUGAAUAAGGAUCGGCUAACUCCGUGCCAGCAGCCGCGGUAAUACGGAGGAUCCGAGCGUUAUCCGGAUUUAUUGGGUUUAAAGGGAGCGUAGAUGGAUGUUUAAGUCAGUUGUGAAAGUUUGCGGCUCAACCGUAAAAUUGCAGUUGAUACUGGAUAUCUUGAGUGCAGUUGAGGCAGGCGGAAUUCGUGGUGUAGCGGUGAAAUGCUUAGAUAUCACGAAGAACUCCGAUUGCGAAGGCGGCCUGCUAAGCUGCAACUGACAUUGAGGCUCGAAAGUGUGGGUAUCAAACAGGAUUAGAUACCCUGGUAGUCCACACGGUAAACGAUGAAUACUCGCUGUUUGCGAUAUACUGCAAGCGGCCAAGCGAAAGCGUUAAGUAUUCCACCUGGGGAGUACGCCGGCAACGGUGAAACUCAAAGGAAUUGACGGGGGCCCGCACAAGCGGAGGAACAUGUGGUUUAAUUCGAUGAUACGCGAGGAACCUUACCCGGGCUUAAAUUGCAGAUGAAUUACGGUGAAAGCCGUAAGCCGCAAGGCAUCUGUGAAGGUGCUGCAUGGUUGUCGUCAGCUCGUGCCGUGAGGUGUCGGCUUAAGUGCCAUAACGAGCGCAACCCUUGUUGUCAGUUACUAACAGGUUCCGCUGAGGACUCUGACAAGACUGCCAUCGUAAGAUGUGAGGAAGGUGGGGAUGACGUCAAAUCAGCACGGCCCUUACGUCCGGGGCUACACACGUGUUACAAUGGGGGGUACAGAGGGCCGCUACCACGCGAGUGGAUGCCAAUCCCCAAAACCUCUCUCAGUUCGGACUGGAGUCUGCAACCCGACUCCACGAAGCUGGAUUCGCUAGUAAUCGCGCAUCAGCCACGGCGCGGUGAAUACGUUCCCGGGCCUUGUACACACCGCCCGUCAAGCCAUGGGAGCCGGGGGUACCUGAAGUGCGUAACCGCGAGGAGCGCCCUAGGGUAAAACUGGUGACUGGG
Molecule: ribosomal RNA, 1432 nt
Filed under: uncultured organism
Description: 16S ribosomal RNA
Rfam family: Bacterial small subunit ribosomal RNA
Source: RNAcentral